This 440-nucleotide ribosomal RNA is filed under the name uncultured bacterium. Its description in RNAcentral is "bacterial SSU rRNA". It matches the Rfam family "Bacterial small subunit ribosomal RNA", at positions 338 to 795 of the family's 1533-position model. The record is from RNAcentral.
CCUACGGGUGGCAGCAGUGGGGAAUAUUGGACAAUGGGCGCAAGCCUGAUCCAGCCAUGCCGCGAGUGUGAUGAAGGCCUUAGGGUUGUAAAGCACUUUCGCCGAUGAAGAUAAUGACGGUAGUCGGAGAAGAAGCCCCGGCUAACUUCGUGCCAGCAGCCGCGGUAAUACAAAGGGGGCAAGCGUUGUUCGGAUUUACUGGGCGUAAAGCGUACGUAGGCGGAUGAUUAAGUCAGGGGUGGAAUCCCGGGGCUCAACCUCGGAACUGCCUUUGAUACUGGUCGUCUUGAGUCCGGGAGAGGUGAGUGGAACUCCUAGUGUAGAGGUGAAAUUCGUAGAUAUUAGGAAGAACACCAGUGGCGAAGGCGGCUCACUGGCCCGGAACUGACGCUGAGGUACGAAAGCGUGGGGAGCAAACAGGAUUAGAUACCCCUGUAGUC